CCUACGGGAGGCAGCAGUGGGGAAUAUUGGACAAUGGGCGCAAGCCUGAUCCGACCAUGCCGCGUGAGUGAUGAAGGCCUUAGGGUUGUAAAGCUCUUUCACCGGAGAAGAUAAUGACGGUAUCCGGAGAAGAAGCCCCGGCUAACUUCGUGCCAGCAGCCGCGGUAAUAC
RNAcentral lists this ribosomal RNA (171 nucleotides) under uncultured bacterium. RNAcentral describes it as "partial 16S ribosomal RNA". It matches the Rfam family "Bacterial small subunit ribosomal RNA", at positions 338 to 526 of the family's 1533-position model. The record is from RNAcentral.